Trifolium pratense (red clover) is the source of this 719-nucleotide long non-coding RNA. RefSeq lists it as uncharacterized. The transcript is spliced from 3 exons. The record is from RefSeq and is a predicted model, not a curated record. Lineage: Eukaryota; Viridiplantae; Streptophyta; Magnoliopsida; Fabales; Fabaceae.
UGAGAAAAAAACCUUUUUAUUUUUUUCAGGAUCAUAUCUAUUGUGAAAGUGUAUAUCCAUGUUGAAGUGAAAUUUGGGAGCAGCAAAUUUAAGCAAAUUUUUUGUUGUGAGCAGCUACAUGGGUGCUACCUAAGUCAAGGAAAAAGAAUGUGAAGUAGUAAGAAGAGGAAGAAUUGAUGAUUUUAAAGUUUGAGAGCUUCUAUGGUUAAACUAUAAAACAUGCUUAUAUUUAUUUGUUCAGAUUUUUCUUUUAUAUGAAUGUUCUGUUGUGUUUCUGCCUGAUUGUUUUUCUCCUUAUAGUUCAACUGUAUGGUUCCUCCAUGUUUAGGAUAAAUUGGAAACUCACUCAUCUUUCUUCCAUGGCCGAACCACACACUCCACCAUCACUAUACACUCACUCAAAAUUCAUCUCUCCACCAUUUUCAUCCUUUCAAAGCUUGUUUGAAAGCUAGGAGUUGUGAUGAGCUUCCUCUUCUAAGGUGUUCGAUAAUCCCACGGCAUUAACAGAGGAGGAGCUGUAUGAAUUGUGAAACUGCUGGGCAACUUGUUUUCUUGACCUAUAUAAUCAUGAGGUAGAUAAUGAUGUUGCCGAUGAGACUUAGGAGCUAGCUAGGUUAAUUUGUAUGAUGUUACGAUGGAUUCACAUUAAUUAGGAUGUUUUGAAUUGUAAUGACAUUUGGUAUUUUGCUUGAAUGUUAUAACAUUUUGGAUUGUUGGUA